Molecule: long non-coding RNA, 792 nt
Organism: Gopherus flavomarginatus (Mexican gopher tortoise)
Lineage: Eukaryota; Metazoa; Chordata; Testudines; Testudinidae
Exons: 3
Source: RefSeq, a predicted model, not a curated record
UCGGUCUCAAAGGGGAAAGAGAUGUGACGAACUGGGAAAGUUCUUAAUGUUUUCUCUGAAUACUGUAUUGGUGCCUCAGUGUCCCCAUGGCAGUUCUUAAGUAUCUGGCAGAGCCAAGGGCCAGUGCACCUAAAUGCCUGACACUCUGUCUCCUAGCAACUGAUGGCCUGGGCCCCUCCUCUGCAAAGGUGCCAGCUGAAGGUGUUGGAGACAAAGGGAUCAGGUGACCUCCUGGCCCGGGAAAGGGGCUGAGCAGAAAGAAGGGGGGGGGGGGGUUGUUAGUCUGGAGCUGGCUGGGGUCAAGGGUGGAGGGCAGACCUGGGGGUCUGGCUCACUGCCCCCCAGAAUGGACCCAGCCGAGGGGUCCGGUUCUCUGUACCUACAAGCUCUGUUUUAGACCCUGUUCCUGUCAUCGAAUAAACCUCUGUUUUACUGGCUGGCUGAGAGUCAUGUCUGACUGCAAAGUGGGGGUGCAGGACCCUGUGGCUUCCCCGGGACCCCGCUGGGGUGGACUCGCUGUGGGAAGCGCACGGAGGGGCAGAGGAUGCUGAAUGCUCCAAGGAGAGACCCAGGAGGUGAAGCCGUGGGAGCUUCUUGCCCUGAACAAGUCUGCUCCAAGGGAGAGGAGGCUCCCCAAAGUCCUGCCUGGCUUGGUGGGGAGCAGUUCCAGAGCAUCGCCCGGUGACUCCGUGACAAGGGCCCAGCAGGUCCAUGCCCCGGCUGAACCCACUGCAGAGCCAAGAGCACCUGCUGCCAUGCGGGCCGGGCUCCUGCCUCCAGGGUGAGGCACCG